This 250-nucleotide long non-coding RNA is filed under the name Lathyrus oleraceus (garden pea). Its description in RNAcentral is "Pisum sativum (pea) long non-coding RNA (PSAT_LNC026449)". Lineage: Eukaryota; Viridiplantae; Streptophyta; Magnoliopsida; Fabales; Fabaceae. The record is from RNAcentral.
AUUCUUCUAAGCAUCAAUGUAGUCAAGGUCAAAGUAAAAGUUGGCUCAAAAGAUCAAAAGGGUAGGAAACUAGGGUUUACAAACCACACAAACUUAUAUGCUUAAGGUAAAAGCCAAAUGAUCAACUUAAAAUUUCCAACAAUUGAAAAUAAGUUGACAUACCAAUUAAGCAUCCAAAUGAUCAUAACAUACCCAAAACUAAGCCUUAAAUUAUGUCCACAAGCUUCAAAAUGAAGUUGGGUUAAAUUAC